GGGUCGUUAGCUCAGUUGGUAGAGCAGUUGACUUUUAAUCAAUUGGUUGCAGGUUCGAAUCCUGCACGACCCACCA
RNAcentral lists this transfer RNA (76 nucleotides) under Citrobacter freundii. Its description in RNAcentral is "tRNA-Lys". It matches the Rfam family "tRNA". From Rfam's summary of the family: Transfer RNA (tRNA) molecules are approximately 80 nucleotides in length. Their secondary structure includes four short double-helical elements and three loops (D, anti-codon, and T loops). Further hydrogen bonds mediate the characteristic L-shaped molecular structure. tRNAs have two regions of fundamental functional importance: the anti-codon, which is responsible for specific mRNA codon recognition, and the 3' end, to which the tRNAs corresponding amino acid is attached (by aminoacyl-tRNA synthetases). tRNAs cope with the degeneracy of the genetic code in two manners: having more than one tRNA (with a specific anti-codon) for a particular amino acid; and 'wobble' base-pairing, i.e. permitting non-standard base-pairing at the 3rd anti-codon position. Lineage: Bacteria; Pseudomonadati; Pseudomonadota; Gammaproteobacteria; Enterobacterales; Enterobacteriaceae. RNAcentral also lists the same sequence under 8 other names. The record is from RNAcentral.